CCUUGACCAAGGAAAGUUGGAUUUGUUGAGAGGACCUGAUCUCAAAUGAGAUCAUGCACAAGACGCACCUCGCAAAGGCCAUGACAGUAUAGUUUUCAGACCUGAUCAGCUGGUGACUGCUCUAUGAAGUGCUGUUCAACCUCCCCUAAGGGGGAGAUUCGAGAGGGUCUCCUGAUUGCUGAACACUACGCCAUGGUUGUUGUCAUCUCCAAAAAGUUUGCCCUGCCCAUAUCAACAGUGGAAGAGAACAUGAGUUGGGCCUUGAGAAGGCUUCGUGUCAUGUACUGCGGGGAGAAUAUAUAAACUGUUUAGUGCUGAGCAAUAUGUUCCUUUGUUCAUAGGUGUAAAUAUGUGUAAAGGGCUAUUCCAGGAAAAGAUAGGAUGAAGGAUUCCUUAAUGUUGUCAUUUUAUAAAUCCGGUACCACCAACACAGUUAAAAACAAUUAUUAUUAAUUUUAUCCUCUGUAUCACCCCUCACUAACUGAAACUGUAUAUAAUCAUGGUUCAUACCCUUCCUCCCAUUUUUACCUGUGGUAGCCCAAAGAGGAGAAUGUUUUAAUUUAUUAUGU
Molecule: long non-coding RNA, 569 nt
Organism: Dreissena polymorpha
Lineage: Eukaryota; Metazoa; Mollusca; Bivalvia; Myida; Dreissenidae
Exons: 3
Source: RefSeq, a predicted model, not a curated record